AACGAACGCUGGCGGCAGGCCUAACACAUGCAAGUCGAGCGCGCCCUUCGGGGUGAGCGGCGGACGGGUGAGUAACGCGUGGGAACGUGCCCUUUUCUACGGAAUAGCCUCGGGAAACUGAGAGUAAUACCGUAUACGCCCUUUGGGGGAAGGAUUUAUCGGAAAAGGAUCGGCCCGCGUUGGAUUAGGUAGUUGGUGGGGUAAUGGCCUACCAAGCCGACGAUCCAUAGCUGGUUUGAGAGGAUGAUCAGCCACACUGGGACUGAGACACGGCCCAGACUCCUACGGGAGGCAGCAGUGGGGAAUCUUAGACAAUGGGGGCAACCCUGAUCUAGCCAUGCCGCGUGAGUGAUGAAGGCCUUAGGGUUGUAAAGCUCUUUCAGCUGGGAAGAUAAUGACGGUACCAGCAGAAGAAGCCCCGGCUAACUCCGUG
This 433-nucleotide ribosomal RNA is filed under the name uncultured bacterium. Its description in RNAcentral is "partial 16S ribosomal RNA". It matches the Rfam family "Bacterial small subunit ribosomal RNA", at positions 29 to 507 of the family's 1533-position model. The record is from RNAcentral.